CCUACGGGAGGCUGCAGUAGGGAAUCUUUCACAAUGGGCGAAAGCCUGAUGGAGCAACGCCGCGUGCUGGAUGAAGGCCUUCGGGUUGUAAACUGCUUUUAUAAGCGAGAAAUAUGAUGGUAACUUAUGAAUAAGGAUCGGCUAACUACGUGCCAGCAGCCGCGGUCAUACGUAGGAUCCGAGCAUUAUCCGGGGUGACUGGGUGUAAAGAGUUGCGUAGGUGGCAUAAUAAGUAGCUAGUGAAAUCUGGUGGCUCAACCAUUCAGACUAUUAGCUAAACUGUUAAGCUCGAGACCGUUAGGGGUAACUGGAAUUUCUAGUGUAGGAGUGAAAUGCGUAGAUAUUAGAAGGAACACCAAUAGCGUAGGCAGGUUACUGGGACGGUUCUGACACUAAGGCACGAAAGCGUAGGGAGCAAACGGGAUUAGAUACCCUGGUAGUC
This 442-nucleotide ribosomal RNA is filed under the name uncultured bacterium. RNAcentral describes it as "partial 16S ribosomal RNA". It matches the Rfam family "Bacterial small subunit ribosomal RNA", at positions 338 to 795 of the family's 1533-position model. The record is from RNAcentral.